GACGAACGCUGGCGGCGUGCUUAACACAUGCAAGUCGAACGGUGAAGCGCCUUCCUUUUUGGUGGGUGUGGAUGAGUGGCGAACGGGUGAGUAACACGUGAGUAACCUGCCCCCUUCUUCUGGAUAACCGCAUGAAAGUGUGGCUAAUACGGGAUAUUCUGGGUCUGUCGCAUGAUGGGUCUGGGAAAGAUAUUGUUUCGGUGGGGGAUGGGCUCGCGGCCUAUCAGCUUGUUGGUGGGGUGAUGGCCUACCAAGGCGGUGACGGGUAGCCGGCCUGAGAGGGUGGACGGUCACACUGGGACUGAGACACGGCCCGGACUCCUACGGGAGGCAGCAGUGGGGAAUAUUGCACAAUGGGCGCAAGCCUGAUGCAGCGACGCCGCGUGAGGGAUGGAGGCCUGCGGGUUGUGAACCUCUUUCGCCAGUGAAGCAGGCCUGCCUCGUUUGUGGGUGGGUUGACGGUAGCUGGAGAAGAAGCGCCGGCUAACUACGUG
Molecule: ribosomal RNA, 494 nt
Filed under: uncultured bacterium
Lineage: Bacteria
Description: partial 16S ribosomal RNA
Rfam family: Bacterial small subunit ribosomal RNA
Source: RNAcentral